RNAcentral lists this ribosomal RNA (771 nucleotides) under Triticum aestivum (bread wheat). Its description in RNAcentral is "partial small subunit ribosomal RNA". Lineage: Eukaryota; Viridiplantae; Streptophyta; Magnoliopsida; Poales; Poaceae. The record is from RNAcentral.
AUGUGUGUCGACUCUACCUUGCAGCAAAUUGAAGGCGUAAUGCACUUUUUUGAUAAGUACAGAGAUGAAGGAUUUGCAUCUUGUUUGACUAUCGCCAAAGGUGUAGCAAUUGACAUGGGCAUAGAACCAUCAUUUCCAAUAAAACCUAAUGUUACUAGGAAGAAACAAUUUGAUGAACCAGAUAACAAAGAAAAAGUUCUAAAAGCUGGGAAGGCGUUCGAAGUUAAUUAUUUCUUAGUUGUGGUUGAUAUUGCAAAGGUCUCUUUGAAAUCUAGAUUCAAAGAACUCAAAGUGUUCAAAAGUAUAUUUGGCUUCUUACUUAGCUCAAAAGACAUGAAGUUAUUGGAUGAUGUUGAACUACGCAAAUGUUGUGCUAAGUUCGUAGAAACAUUUUCACAAAAUGGUUCAUGCGAUGUUGAGUUAGAUGAUCUUUUUUCUGAAUUAAGACUGCUGCAAAUGACUUUACCAGAAUCAGAUUUGCCAUUGCAUGCUAUGGAGAUUUUUGAGUUUGUUAGAGAUAUUGACUGUUUUCCAAAUGUUUUAAUUGCUUAUCGAAUUUUGUUCACUGUACCAAUGACUGUAGCAUCAGCAGAACAUAGCUUUUCGAAGUUGAAAUUGUUAAAGAACUAUUUGAGGUCAACAAUGUCGCAAGAACGAUUAAAUGGUCUCGCUACUUUAUGUAUUGAGAAAGAUAAGUUGGAUGAAAUAAAUGUUGAUGCAAUAAUCGAUGACUUUGCUUCUAGAAGUGUUAGACGAAUUUCCAAGUUCUAG